This is a non-coding RNA of Ophiophagus hannah (king cobra), 47 nucleotides long. Lineage: Eukaryota; Metazoa; Chordata; Lepidosauria; Squamata; Elapidae. The record is from Rfam.
UUAAAGGUUUUUUUAAAAACCCUCUCACAGUUGGAGAAACAUCAUUG